AAUCAACGCUGGCGGCGUGCCUAACACAUGCAAGUCGAACGCGAAAGUCCCGCAAGGGAUUAGUAGAGUGGCAAACGGGUGAGUAACACGUGGGUGACCUGCCUUCGAGUGGGGGAUAACGUCCCGAAAGGGACGCUAAUACCGCAUAACAUCCUGCCUUUUAAGAGGUGGAGAUCAAAAGCUGGGGACCGUAAGGCCUGGCGCUGGAAGNGGGGCCCGCGUCUGAUUAGCUAGUUGGUGAGGAACGGCUCACCAAAGGCAACGAUCAGUAUCCGGCCUGAGAGGGCGGACGGACAC
Molecule: ribosomal RNA, 297 nt
Filed under: uncultured bacterium
Lineage: Bacteria
Description: partial 16S ribosomal RNA
Rfam family: Bacterial small subunit ribosomal RNA
Source: RNAcentral